UACGGAGGGUGCGAGCGUUGUCCGGAAUCACUGGGCGUAAAGGGCGCGUAGGCGGCGCGGGAAGUCAUCGGUGAAAGUUCAGGGCUCAACUCUGAAUCGGCCGGUGAUACUCUCGUGCUCGAGCACUGUAGAGGCAGGUGGAAUUCCGGGUGUAGCGGUGGAAUGCGUAGAGAUCCGGAAGAACACCGGUGGCGAAGGCGGCCUGCUGGGCAGUAGCUGACGCUGAGGAGCGAAAGCAUGGGGAGCGAACAGG
RNAcentral lists this ribosomal RNA (253 nucleotides) under uncultured bacterium. RNAcentral's name for it is "partial 16S ribosomal RNA". It matches the Rfam family "Bacterial small subunit ribosomal RNA", at positions 524 to 776 of the family's 1533-position model. The record is from RNAcentral.